GUGUCAGCAGCCGCGGUAAUACGAAGGGUGCAAGCGUUAAUCGGAAUUACUGGGCGUAAAGCGUGCGUAGGCGGUGAUUUAAGUCUGCUGUGAAAUCCCCGGGCUCAACCUGGGAAUGGCAGUGGAUACUGGAUCGCUAGAGUGUGAUAGAGGAUGGUGGAAUUCCCGGUGUAGCGGUGAAAUGCGUAGAGAUCGGGAGGAACAUCAGUGGCGAAGGCGGCCAUCUGGAUCAACACUGACGCUGAGGCACGAAAGCGUGGGGAGCAAACAGGAUUAGAAACCCGCGUAGUCC
RNAcentral lists this ribosomal RNA (292 nucleotides) under uncultured bacterium. RNAcentral's name for it is "partial 16S ribosomal RNA". It matches the Rfam family "Bacterial small subunit ribosomal RNA", at positions 505 to 796 of the family's 1533-position model. The record is from RNAcentral.